CCUGACUGCUAUCGGAUUGAUACUAAGCCAUGCUAGUCUUUGUAGUAAUACAAGGCAUACGGCUCAGUAACGCGUAGUCAACCUACCCUAUGGACGGGGAUAAUCUCGGGAAACUGAGCAUAAUACCCGGCAGACCACUUAUCCUGGAAUGGUUAGUGGUUAAAAUGAUUCGUCGCCAUAGGAUGGGACUGCGGCCUAUCAGCUUGUUGGUGAGGUAAUGGCCCACCAAGGCGAUUACAGGUACGGGCUCUGAGAGGAGAGGCCCGGAGAUGGGUACUGAGACAAGGACCCAGGCCCUAUGGGGCGCAGCAGGCGAGAAAACUUUGCAAUGUGCGAAAGCACGACAAGGUUAAUCCGAGUGAUUUCUGCUAAAGGAAUCUUUUGUUAGUUCUAAAAAUACUAGUGAAUAAGGGGUGGGCAAGUUCUGGUGUCAGCCGCCGCGGUAAAACCAGCACCUCAAGUGGUCAGGAGGAUUAUUGGGCCUAAAGCAUCCGUAGCCUGUUCUAUAAGUUUGCGGUUAAAUCUAUACGCUCAACGUAUAGGCUGCCGUAAAUACUGUAGAACUAGGGAGUGGGAGAGGUAGACGGUACUCGAUAGGAAGGGGUAAAAUCCUUUGAUCUAUUGAUGACCACCUGUGGCGAAGGCGGUCUACCAGAACACGUUCGACGGUGAGGGAUGAAAGCUGGGGGAGCAAACCGGAUUAGAUACCCGGGUAGUCCCAGCUGUAAACGAUGCAGACUCGAUGAUGCAUUGGCAUAUAGCCAGUGCAGUGUCGCAGGGAAGCCGUUAAGUCUGCCGCCUGGGAAGUACGUACGCAAGUAUGAAACUUAAAGGAAUUGGCGGGGGAGCACAACGAAGGGGUGAAGCCUGCGGUUC
Molecule: ribosomal RNA, 876 nt
Filed under: uncultured archaeon
Lineage: Archaea
Description: bacterial SSU rRNA
Rfam family: Archaeal small subunit ribosomal RNA
Source: RNAcentral